GAACUAAUAACUCAGUGGUAGAGUAAUCGCUUGAUAAGCGAGAGGUCAGUGGUUCAAAUCCACUUUAGGGAA
Molecule: transfer RNA, 72 nt
Filed under: Cavenderia fasciculata
Lineage: Eukaryota; Evosea; Eumycetozoa; Acytosteliales; Cavenderiaceae
Description: tRNA-Ile
Rfam family: tRNA
About the family: Transfer RNA (tRNA) molecules are approximately 80 nucleotides in length.
Source: RNAcentral